AUACGGAGGAUGCAAGCGUUAUCCGGAUUUAUUGGGUUUAAAGGGUGCGUAGGCGGAUGAUUAAGCGUGAGGUGAAAUGCCACUGCUCAACAGUGGAACUGCCUCGCGAACUGGUUGUCUUGAAUGCUCCUGCCGUGGGAGGAAUGUGUGGUGUAGCGGUGAAAUGCAUAGAGAUCACACAGAACACCGAUUGCGAAGGCGUGUCACGAAGGGGUGAGUGACUCUGAGGCACGAAAGGCUGGGGAUCAAACAGGAAUAGAUACCCUGGUAGUCCACGAAGAAAACGAUGAUAACUAGCCUGUUGGUGGUAGUGAGUCAGAGGCCCAGCGAAAGCGAUUAGUGAUCGACCCGGGGAGUACGCGCGCAAGAUUGAAACUCAUAAGAAUUGACGGGG
RNAcentral lists this ribosomal RNA (394 nucleotides) under uncultured bacterium. Its description in RNAcentral is "partial 16S ribosomal RNA". It matches the Rfam family "Bacterial small subunit ribosomal RNA", at positions 523 to 918 of the family's 1533-position model. The record is from RNAcentral.